Molecule: long non-coding RNA, 917 nt
Filed under: Panax ginseng (ginseng)
Lineage: Eukaryota; Viridiplantae; Streptophyta; Magnoliopsida; Apiales; Araliaceae
Description: long non-coding RNA (PGIN_LNC017985)
Source: RNAcentral
UGCUGCAGAGGGAGGUACAACAGGUGGGCUACUCCACCCUUCCUUAAUCUGUGCUUUGUGUGAUCAGGAAGGGGUUAAAUAGAAGAUGAACGAACUUAUCAUGCCACCAAUGCUACUGCUGAACCACAAUAUGAUUUUGAGAUAUAAAGUUUGGGGGGUGGUGAGUCGCGUCCAAGGGGAUUAGGCUUUAUGAUUCCACAGUCUGGACCUCAGCAAGGUUCGACUCCGAUAGCCAUAUAUUCUUCUUACCCCGCUGCUCCACACUGUGUUAUUUCUGAAGAAGUUGAGCUAGAAGUGGAUAGAUGGAUAUAUAGCUUGCAUUGGAGGAUCAGAAUUUUCACCUUGCUGCCCGUCAGGAUGCAAUCUUCUUCUACAACGCCAGCUUCAACAAUGCCUUAGUAGACAUGUUUGCAAGAAUGAAUCCCACCUUGGACCAUAGCCAGUUUCCCGUGGCGCCCACAUUACCUGUUUUUCCACCUUCUGAUCAAGAAGAUGAGAGUGAUGAGGAGGUCUAUCACGACGAAUGAUCUAAUUAAGGGAGUCCUCAGUUUUACAAUGUCUUUAUCUUUCGCAUAAGGACAUUGCUAUAUUCAUGUUUGGGGGUGUUUAUUUUGUUUGCAUGUGCAUAGUAGUUUGUUGCAUAGUAGGACAUUUAUUCAUUUAGGUUGUAUAUUUGCAUCUAGUUAAUAUUUACCCAUGUUUAUGUGCUAGUUUUGUUGCGUAUAUUGCAUUUAGGUUUAACUUGAGCAUGAUGAGAUAUGAAACCCUGUUGAUGGCAGAUGAAAAGAAUAUUGUGCAUUAAGUAAUAACUUGGAUGAAUCUAAUAAUGAUAACUAAGUUAGCUCAUGAAUAUUUUUUGUUUAUUUGGAAGCCCCGAGUUUAAUUCCACAUAUUCAAUAUGUUGAUCUAGUUGUGAG